GGAAGUAAGAGUCGUAACAAGGUUUCCGUAGGUGAACCUGCGGAAGGAUCAUUAUUGUAUAACCGAGGUGCGAGGGCUGUCGCUGACCCGAAAGGUCGUGCACGCCCGAGUGCCCUCACACACAUCCAUCUCACCCCUAUGUGCACCACCGCGUGGGUCCCCCUUUGGCUUGUUCGGAGGGGGGCUUACGUUUUCACACAAACUUUGUAUGCAGUGUAGAAUGUAUUUUUUGUUUUUGCGAUCACGCAAUCAAUACAACUUUCAACAACGGAUCUCUUGGUUCUG
This 285-nucleotide unclassified non-coding RNA is filed under the name plant metagenome. Its description in RNAcentral is "partial contains small subunit ribosomal RNA, internal transcribed spacer 1, and 5.8S ribosomal RNA". The stretch from base 1 to 54 matches the Rfam family "Eukaryotic small subunit ribosomal RNA", at positions 1778 to 1831 of the family's 1831-position model. The record is from RNAcentral.